GUCCCGGUUCAGACCAGCCGCGUCUGGAUAGUGGCUGGCAUACCAGACAGCCUUGGUCUAAGGAGUCUGAUUUUAUUUCUCCUCUCUGCUGGAUGAGGACCAGCACCACUCGCAUUGUCCAGGGAGGGGACUGAGGCUCAGAGCUGAUAGUGGCCUGUCACGGGAUCAGCAGCAACAGUGGUUUGGUCCUUGAACAGGGUCCUGUUUGAGCCCUGAUUUUGCCACUUCUGAUUUCUGUGACCUCUGGCAGGCUGUUUCAAGUCUCCUAGGCUCAAUUUCCCUACAACUGAAGUAAAAGAGAAAAAAUAACUCCUACUCUUAGAGUGCAAGGAUUAGAGAGCAUGUUUGCAAAGGACUCUCAAGUGGCUGGCACAUAGAAAACGGUCAAUAAAUGUUGGCGAUUCUGAUAGCAAUGGACCAGGCAGAACCUCUCCACUGGGGGCCCUGGUCUGCCCUCCUUUCUGGGGCGAUCCCUCAGUUAGUUCCCGGAGAACAUUCCAGAAGAAGAACAUUCAGUUCCCUCAGAAUCUCUAAGGAGCCCCUGGGUGGAGUCUGUGGCAUCAGGCGGUGCCGUCCUCGCCUCCAGGGGUUCCGGGCUCUCUGGGAGCUCUGCUGCACCGCACUCCAGGGCACCAGCUUUACCAGCCCCCUCUCGGCCUCCCCCCACCAUAAGGGAUCCAGGUCUCGCUGCGUGGCGCCCAGGAAUCCACACACAUUGAACAGGACUCCCUAGGCCUCAUACCCAGUCUUACAGUCCCGCGGCUAAACAUGGAAAACAAUGCCAGAUGCCCUCCUGAACCCAAACUCGGACUCUCCGGCCUUCCUUAAAUAACCCAGGAAACCCAGGCGCACAGGGCAGAGUCAGACGGCCACUGUUCCUGAGCCUUGUUUGUGGAGCAAAUGGAAAGACUCAUUUCAUGUUUUAUGACAUUUCAGAAUCGAUUUACAACUGCCUACUCCUUCUGAGUCUGGAUUUUCCUUUGAAAUAAAAAACACUGUAAUAAAAAAUAAUAGGAACAUUGAAUUGGAAAAAUGGUAAUGGUACAAAAAUAGUAUAAAAAUAAAAUAAAAUCAUACCAUUGUUCUUUAAGAUUCAUUCAAUAUUCACUUAAAAAAACAAUUAGAAUCCAGGCAAGGUUCUAGGCCCUGGACCACAGCAGUAAACUGAGC
Long non-coding RNA from Bos taurus (domestic cattle), 1170 nucleotides. Lineage: Eukaryota; Metazoa; Chordata; Mammalia; Artiodactyla; Bovidae. The record is from Ensembl.